AUAAACAUGCAUACCACCCUGCAUCCCACUGCUGGCUUGCUUCUGAAGCUAAGCAGGGUUGGUCCUGGUUGGUUCCUGGAUGGGAGACCAGAUGCUGCUGGAAGUGGUGUUG
Molecule: ribosomal RNA, 112 nt
Filed under: Hucho hucho (huchen)
Lineage: Eukaryota; Metazoa; Chordata; Actinopteri; Salmoniformes; Salmonidae
Source: RNAcentral